AGGACUACGCUGGCGGUGCGCCUAACACAUGCAAGUCGUACGGGCUCCUUCGGGAGCUAGUGGCAGACGGGUGAGUAACGCGUAGGUAAUGUACCUCUUCGCUGGGGAUACCUACCUGAAAAGGUGGCUAAAACCGAAUGAGCUUUUCAAGCGGCAUCGCUUGAUUUGCAAACCUCCGGGGCGAAGAGAUCAGCUUGCGUACUAUCAGCUAGUAGGUGAGGUAAUGGCUUACCUAGGCUUCGACGGUUAGCCGGUCUGAGAGGAUGAUCGGCCACAUUGGAACUGAAACACGGUCCAGACUCCUACGGGAGGCAGCAGUGAGGAAUCUUGCGCAAUGGGCGAAAGCCUGACGCCAGCGACACCGCGUGAGGGAUGAAGGUCUUCGGAUUGUAAACCUUUGUCAGUGGGGACGAGAACGGACGGUACCCGCUGAGGAAGCAUCGGCUUACUACGUGCCAGCCGCUGC
This 466-nucleotide ribosomal RNA is filed under the name uncultured bacterium. Its description in RNAcentral is "bacterial SSU rRNA". It matches the Rfam family "Bacterial small subunit ribosomal RNA", at positions 33 to 518 of the family's 1533-position model. The record is from RNAcentral.